RNAcentral lists this ribosomal RNA (131 nucleotides) under uncultured Caulobacter sp. RNAcentral's name for it is "partial 16S ribosomal RNA". It matches the Rfam family "Bacterial small subunit ribosomal RNA", at positions 355 to 503 of the family's 1533-position model. Lineage: Bacteria; Pseudomonadati; Pseudomonadota; Alphaproteobacteria; Caulobacterales; Caulobacteraceae. The record is from RNAcentral.
UGGGGAAUCUUGCGCAAUGGGCGAAAGCCUGACGCAGCCAUGCCGCGUGAAUGAUGAAGGUCUUAGGAUUGUAAAAUUCUUUCACCGGGGACGAUAAUGACGGUACCCGGAGAAGAAGCCCCGGCUAACUU